Molecule: ribosomal RNA, 372 nt
Filed under: uncultured Chroococcidiopsis sp.
Lineage: Bacteria; Bacillati; Cyanobacteriota; Cyanophyceae; Chroococcidiopsidales; Chroococcidiopsidaceae
Description: bacterial SSU rRNA
Rfam family: Bacterial small subunit ribosomal RNA
Source: RNAcentral
CGAAAGCCUGACGGAGCAAUACCGCGUGAGGGAGGAAGGCUCUUGGGUUGUAAACCUCUUUUAUCAGGGAAGAACAAAAUGACGGUACCUGAGGAAUCAGCAUCGGCUAACUCCGUGCCAGCAGCCGCGGUAAUACGGAGGAUGCAAGCGUUAUCCGGAAUGAUUGGGCGUAAAGCGUCCGUAGGUGGCGGUUCAAGUCUGCUGUCAAAGGUCGGGGCUCAACUCCGAACAGGCAGUGGAAACUGAAUUGCUAGAGUGCGGUAGGGGUAGAGGGAAUUCCCGGUGUAGCGGUGAAAUGCGUAGAGAUCGGGAAGAACACCAGUGGCGAAAGCGCUCUACUAGGUCGCAACUGACACUGAGGGACGAAAGCUA